This 396-nucleotide ribosomal RNA is filed under the name uncultured bacterium. Its description in RNAcentral is "partial 16S ribosomal RNA". It matches the Rfam family "Bacterial small subunit ribosomal RNA", at positions 523 to 918 of the family's 1533-position model. The record is from RNAcentral.
AUACGUAGGUGACAAGCGUUAUCCGGAUUUACUGGGCGUAAAGGGCGUGUGGCGGUCUUGCAAGUCAGAAGUGAAAUUCCUGAGCUCAACUCGGGCGCUGCUUCUGAAACUGCAGGACUUGAGUGCUGGAGGGGAUAGCGGAAUUCCUAGUGGAGCGGUAAAAUGCGCAGAUAUUAGGAAGAACACCGGUGGCGAAGGCGGCUAUAUGGGCAGUAACGGACGCUGAGGCGCGAAAGCGUGGGGAGCAAACAGGAUUAGAUACCCUGGUAGUCCACGCUGUAAACGAUGAAUACUAGGUGUAGGGGGUAUCGACUCCCUCUGUGCCGCAGUUAACACAAUAAGUAUUCCGCCUGGGGAGUACGGCCGCGAGGUUGAAACUCAAAUGAAUUGACGGGG